UAACUGUAUAAUACAUAUCCCUAUAUAAUACAUACUGCUCAUUUGUUUCAGUAAUUAUUCCUACAAAGUACUUAUUAAAAGUAAUAACUAACUGUUAAGGGGCCAUGCUGAUGUCUAUGAUAAUUUUCGUAUCUAAUUAAAUUUAAGGUUAUACUUCAGUAUUUAUUAUGAUGACAUAAUACACAAAAAAUACACAUAGUAUGUCUAUAUUUAGGUAUUUAUAUAUAAAUAUAAAUGAUAUAUAUUUAUAUGCCAAUUAUCUAUAACCUUCAUCUCUAUCUAUAUAUCUAUCUAUAUACAGAGAGAGAAAGAGGAGAGAAAUACUCUCCACAAAGCUCUUAAUAUAAUGCCUGGCUCAUAAUAAGUACCCUAUAACAAUCUUAGCUAUUUAAAAAAAAAAAGGGAAAAAAAUUAAAAAGGUAUCUUAAUUUAAAUUCAAUAUAACAGAUCAUUAUUCAGGAACUAUUAUCUGUGAAGCACUGUUCAAGGAAAUGCAUACAUAUUCACAUAUACAGAUAUUAAACAUGAUGUAUUAAACACCAGCUCCUUUAACAUAGGCUGCUCUAAAUAUAAGCAUUACAGAGGUAAUUUCUCAAGCAAAUUAGUCAAGUAACUUGUUUCUUGAUAACAGCACAGGGAAUCAAGGCUGCCAAAAUCAACAGUAUAUUUCAAAGGCUUCCAGGUUCUCUGUAACAAAGGCUGAGUAAGCCAUGACUCAUAAUCGGGAAACUUCUAUUUGAGGGCCUUAUUAUCUCUCUUCAUAUCUGGGGUGUGGGAAAGACUGGGAGCAGUGGACAGCAGGCAGGGAGGGGUUCCGUUCUGUUUCCAGUGACAUAAAGUGAGUGAGAAGCUCAUAGUGAAAGUUUCCCUGGAGUAGUAUUUUCUUGGUCAGUAGAGCCCCCCCCGAGAUGUGUAUACAGUGGUCUGAAAAUGUAUUCAGGACAACUGAGCUAUGUUAGAACUUAUAAUCUAUUCCAGUGUCUGGGGUUGAGUCAGUCAUGCCUCAUCACCCAAGAGCAAACUUAAACUGUGUCUUGAUUGAGCCACUGUGGAUUGCUUGCUGCUUCAGUCUGUGUUUUAUUUAUUUAUUGUGGGUGGAGGGAAGUAUGUUUUUAGGGCUCCAUCUCGAGUCUGCACAAAAUAUAAUUGAAAGAGAAGGGUUUUCCAGUUUGCCAAGAAAAGGUUUAAAUGGUGGCUGCCAUGUUCUGGUUGUGUGGGUGAGAAAUGCCCUAAUAUUUCUACACCAUAAUUUCCUAUCUUUUAAAAGUGAUAUUGGGAGUUCCUGCUGUGGCUCAGCAGGUAAAGAACCCAAUAUAGCACCCGUGAGAAUGCAGAUUUGAUCCCUAGCCUUGCUCAGUGGGUUUAGGAUCCAUUGUUGUCACAAGCUGAGGCAUGGGUCCCAGAUGUAUCUCGGAUCUGGUGUUGCCAUGGCUGUGGCACAGGCCAGCAGUGGCGGCUCUGAUUCAACCCCUAGCCUGGGAACUUCCAUGUGUGGCAGGUGUGGCCCUAAAAAGAAAAAAAGAAAAAA
This 1528-nucleotide long non-coding RNA is filed under the name Sus scrofa (pig). RNAcentral's name for it is "lncRNA (ENSSSCG00040002872.1)". Lineage: Eukaryota; Metazoa; Chordata; Mammalia; Artiodactyla; Suidae. The record is from RNAcentral.